GACGAACGCUGGCGGCGUGCCUAACACAUGCAAGUCGAACGGGGUAAAGAGCUUCGGGUUUUUUACUUAGUGGCGAACGGGGUGAGUAACGCGUGAGAAACCUGCCUUUCAGUGGGGGACAACAGUUGGAAACGACUGCUAAUACCGCAUAACGUAUUCGAGCGGCAUCGCUUGAAUACCAAAGCUUUAUGUGCUGAAAGAUGGCCUCGCGUCUGAUUAGCUAGUUGGAGGGGUAACGGCCCACCAAGGCGACGAUCAGUAGCCGGUCUGAGAGGAUGAACGGCCACAUUGGGACUGAGAUACGGCCCAGACUCCUACGGGAGGCAGCAGUGGGGAAUAUUGGGCAAUGGGGGAAACCCUGACCCAGCAACGCCGCGUGAAGGAAGAAGGCUUCGGGUUGUAAACUUCUUUUACCAGGGACGAAGGACGUGACGGUACCUGGAGAAAAAGCAACGGCUAACUACGUG
Molecule: ribosomal RNA, 467 nt
Filed under: uncultured bacterium
Lineage: Bacteria
Description: bacterial SSU rRNA
Rfam family: Bacterial small subunit ribosomal RNA
Source: RNAcentral